This 497-nucleotide ribosomal RNA is filed under the name uncultured bacterium. RNAcentral describes it as "partial 16S ribosomal RNA". It matches the Rfam family "Bacterial small subunit ribosomal RNA", at positions 28 to 507 of the family's 1533-position model. The record is from RNAcentral.
GACGAACGCUGGCGGCGUGCCUAAUACAUGCAAGUUGAGCGCUGAAGGUUGGUACUUGUACCAACUGGAUGAGCAGCGAACGGGUGAGUAACGCGUGGGGAAUCUGCCUUUGAGCGGGGGACAACAUUUGGAAACGAAUGCUAAUACCGCAUAAAAACUUUAAACACAAGUUUUAAGUUUGAAAGAUGCAAUUGCAUCACUCAAAGAUGAUCCCGCGUUGUAUUAGCUAGUUGGUGAGGUAAAGGCUCACCAAGGCGAUGAUACAUAGCCGACCUGAGAGGGUGAGCGGCCACAUUGGGACGGAGACACGGCCCAAACUCCUACGGGAGGCAGCAGUAGGGAAUCUUCGGCAAUGGACGAAAGUCUGACCGAGCAACGCCGCGUGAGUGAAGAAGGUUUUCGGAUCGGAAAACUCUGUUGGUAGAGAAGAACGUUUGUGAGAGUGGAAAGCUCAUCAAGUGACGGUAACUACCCAGAAAGGGACGGCUAACUACGUG